GCUGUGCUAUCAUACCAUCUGUGUUCAGGCACAGCUCUCCUCCUAUUGCUUCCUAAAGCAAUAAGGAUAAAAAAUAAAAACAGAUAUGAUGGAGAAGCACCGUGUGUUGGAAUACACCAUGAGCCUGAGCCUUACCAUGCUUGUUACGGAAACGGCCUCCUCUGUAGCUGCAUACUGCAACAAAGCAUCCCCAGGGAAAUAAAAAUGAAGGUUACAUUCUCCUUUCAUGUUUAGAUCAGUGAUCUCCUCACCUGUCCCGGCCAGCAAAGCCUGGUGAGCCCUGCUCUGCCCCAUACCGUUCUGAACACUGCUUUGUUCAGCUCCUUUCUCAAACAUCCCAGCAACGUUCCACGUGCAAGUGAGUGAAAUUCUUUAAAUGUUGGAGUAGAUGGAAGGCACCAGAACAGUUGGGGGGGGGAUAACCCCAGUGUUAAAUCAGCAUCUAAGGACAAAACAGGGAUGAAAAUGCACCCCGUGACAAACCUCAGCGUGUAUCUUAGGCCAGUAAGAGGUCCAUGAGCCAGCGCUAUAGGUAAAACUUCACUGUAUGAACGUAAGAGUCCUCUACAUUGCACAAUUUUAAAGGUCAAUGAAAGUCCUAUUGUUAAGGAAUCAAUUGUGUAAUGCAGAGCUUAAUACAGAGCCUUUCUGACAUUUAGUCGAAAUGCAGGACCGUUGUUUUUAAGAUUCAGAAAGAAAAUCCCCAUCCUGGCCACUCGGUCAUACUUUCGGUCUGCAGAACUCCGCCAGUGCAGAGGGAAAGGAACGGAGCAGCGUGCCAACGGCAGGCAGGGAACCCGCACACACUGCACUCCAGUAGAGCUCCAGCCCAGCCCUGUCCAGCUACUUGUCGAGAACACAAGCAUGCUCACAACUUCCUCUUGCUUUCCGAGAAUCACCUCGCUCCUCCUAUGCUAUUCCCACACGCUGCCCUACCGAGAGAUUUUGUGGACUCUGCCUACAUAAACACACGUCUGUCCCGCACCGGUCGUUCGCGUGUCCAGUGAAGCACACGCCUGUGAGCCAGGCAGGGGCAGCGGGGAGAGCUCCACAGCUGAGAUGCGGCAAUCGCCCACGUGACGGCCGUGUAAGGCUCCGUGUCACAUCUUGCACUGAGAAGGAGUAGGGUGGAGUGCUCGCUGGAAUCUCCAUAAAUAUGAGAGCCUGGAGGGAGAUCAUGAGAGGGAACCUCUCUCUUCGAGCGGAGGUACUUCUGCGCCGUGACGGCUUCAGUGCGGCUCUCUGAGGGGAAACCUCCCCGACCCCUCCAUUGUCACCGACCACGCUGUGGAAGCAGACGGGGAGGCUCUCCCCACAGCACCGCGGCCUGCCGGCCUCGCACCCCGCGCCGCUCCCCGCACGGCCGGCC
This 1369-nucleotide long non-coding RNA is filed under the name Gallus gallus (chicken). RNAcentral's name for it is "lncRNA (ENSGALG00010013602.1)". Lineage: Eukaryota; Metazoa; Chordata; Aves; Galliformes; Phasianidae. The record is from RNAcentral.